This 941-nucleotide ribosomal RNA is filed under the name uncultured Campylobacterota bacterium. Its description in RNAcentral is "bacterial SSU rRNA". It matches the Rfam family "Bacterial small subunit ribosomal RNA", at positions 561 to 1500 of the family's 1533-position model. The record is from RNAcentral. Lineage: Bacteria; Pseudomonadati; Campylobacterota.
UAAAGGACGCGUAGGCGGGUUGGCAAGUCAGAUGUGAAUCCUACAGCUUAACUGUAGAACUGCAUUUGAAACUGCCGACCUAGAGUAUGGGAGGGGGAGAUGGAAUUAGUGGUGUAGGGGUAAAAUCCGUAGAUAUCACUAGGAAUACCGAAAGCGAAGGCGAUCUCCUGGAACAUAACUGACGCUAAGGCGUGAAAGCGUGGGGAGCAAACAGGAUUAGAUACCCUGGUAGUCCACGCCCUAAACGAUGUUCACUAGUCGUCGCUCUGCUAGUCAGGGCGGUGAUGCACUUAACAGAUUAAGUGAACCGCCUGGGGAGUACGGUCGCAAGAUUAAAACUCAAAGGAAUAGACGGGGACCCGCACAAGUGGUGGAGCAUGUGGUUUAAUUCGAAGAUACGCGAAGAACCUUACCUAGCCUUGACAUUGAGAGAACCUGCCAGAGAUGGCGGGGUGCCCUUCGGGGAGCUCGAAAACAGGUGCUGCACGGCUGUCGUCAGCUCGUGUCGUGAGAUGUUGGGUUAAGUCCCGCAACGAGCGCAACCCUCGUCCUUAGUUGCUAGCAGGUUAAGCUGAGCACUCUAAGGAGACUGCCUUCGUAAGGAGGAGGAAGGUGAGGACGACGUCAAGUCAUCAUGGCCCUUAUGGCUAGGGCUACACACGUGCUACAAUGGGGCGUACAGAGUGUUGCGAUACCGCGAGGUGGAGCUAAUCACUUAAAGCGUCUCUCAGUUCGGAUUGGAGUCUGCAACUCGACUCCAUGAAGCUGGAAUCACUAGUAAUCGUAGAUCAGCAAUGCUACGGUGAAUACGUUCCCGGGUCUUGUACUCACCGCCCGUCACACCAUGGGAGUUGAUUUCACCCGAAAUCGGGAAGCCAACCUUCGGGGGGCUACCGCUUACGGUGGAAUUAGCGACUGGGGUGAAGUCGUAACAAGGUAAC